This 439-nucleotide ribosomal RNA is filed under the name uncultured prokaryote. RNAcentral describes it as "bacterial SSU rRNA". It matches the Rfam family "Bacterial small subunit ribosomal RNA", at positions 355 to 796 of the family's 1533-position model. The record is from RNAcentral.
UCGAGAAUCUUCGGCAAUGGACGAAAGUCUGACCGAGCAAUGCCGCGUGCGGGAUGAAGGCCCUCGGGUUGUAAACCGUAAAAGUGAGGAGGAAGGCCCGCCGAAGAGGCGGGUUUGACCGAUCCACAGUAAGGACGGGCUAAGUUCGUGCCAGCAGCCGCGGUAACACGAACCGUCCAAACGUUAUUCGGAAUUAUUGGGCUUAAAGGGUGCGUAGGCGGCGCUUUAAGUCGGGUGUGAAAUCCCUCGGCCCAACCGAGGAACUGCGCCCGAUACUGAGGUGCUCGAGGGAGACAGGGGUGAGCGGAACUGAUGGUGGAGCGGUGAAAUGCGUUGAUAUCAUCAGGAACACCGGUGGCGAAAGCGGCUCACUGGGUCUCUUCUGACGCUGAGGCACGAAAGCUAGGGUAGCGAACGGGAUUAGAUACCCGUGUAGUCC